GCGUGAGUGAAGAAGGCCUUCGGGUUGUAAAGCUCUUUUGGCGGGGACGAUGAUGACGGUACCCGCAGAAUAAGCCCCGGCUAACUUCGUGCCAGCAGCCGCGGUAAGACGAAGGGGGCUAGCGUUGUUCGGAAUUACUGGGCGUAAAGGGCGCGUAGGCGGUUUGUUAAGUCAGGCGUGAAAGCCCUGGGCUCAACCUGGGAUGUGCGUUUGAUACUGGCAAGCUUGAGUGCAGGAGAGGAUGGUGGAAUUCCCAGUGUAGAGGUGAAAUUCGU
RNAcentral lists this ribosomal RNA (275 nucleotides) under uncultured bacterium. Its description in RNAcentral is "partial 16S ribosomal RNA". It matches the Rfam family "Bacterial small subunit ribosomal RNA", at positions 399 to 691 of the family's 1533-position model. The record is from RNAcentral.